RNAcentral lists this ribosomal RNA (497 nucleotides) under uncultured bacterium. RNAcentral describes it as "partial 16S ribosomal RNA". It matches the Rfam family "Bacterial small subunit ribosomal RNA", at positions 28 to 507 of the family's 1533-position model. The record is from RNAcentral.
GAUGAACGCUGGCGGCGUGCCUAAUACAUGCAAGUCGAGCGAACAGACGAGGAGCUUGCUCCUUUGACGUUAGCGGCGGACGGGUGAGUAACACGUAGGUAACCUACCUAUAAGACUGGGAUAACUUCGGGAAACCGGAGCUAAUACCGGAUAAUAUUUCGAACCGCAUGGUUCGAUAGUGAAAGAUGGCUUUGCUAUCACUUAUAGAUGGACCUGCGCCGUAUUAGCUAGUUGGUAAGGUAACGGCUUACCAAGGCAACGAUACGUAGCCGACCUGGGGGGGGGGCGGGCCACAUGGGAAUUGAGCCAGGGUCCAGCCACAUAGGGGGGGAGCCGGAGGGGAAUCUUCCGCAAGGGGGGAAAGCCUGACGGAGCAACGCGGCGGGAGUGAGAAAGGUCUUGGGAUCGAAAAACUGUUUUAUGGGGGAAAAACAAAGGUGUAAGAAACUGUGCCCGUCUUGAGGGUACUUAAUAAAAAAGCCACGGCAAACUACGUG